CACGGCUGAAGAGCUGCUCGAACAGUGGUGUUGUGACCGCAUAAGGCUUCUGCGUCACUGUAAUCUGACAGAGGAAAGCUGUAGAGUUCUGUCCUCAGUUCUCAUCUGAAACUCCUCCAGUCUGAGAGAACUGGACCUGAGUCACAAUAAGCUGCAGGACUCUGGAGUGAAGCUGCUCUCUGAUGGACUGAAGAAUCCACACUGUACACUGGAGAAACUGAGGAUGCAGGAGUGCAGUAUUACAGAUGAAGGUUGUGCUGCUCUGGCUUCAGCUCUGAGGUCAAACUCCUCAUCACACCUGAGAGAACUGGAUCUGAACUGUAAUAAUCCAAGAGAAUCAGGAGUGAAGCUGCUCUCUGAUCUACUGAAGGAUCCACACUAUAAACUGGAGACACUACACAUUGAGGAUAAUAAACUCACCAGGUCUGGUGUAUGUGUCCUGACGCAGAACAGAAGUGGACCCAAAUGCAGGAUAGCUAAAACAAAAGGGAUUUAUUAACACAAACACAAAACAGGAACACGGACUCGAGACAGGACUAAACAAAACCAAGACCACAGUAGAUGCCGCGCUGCACGAGGCAACGCGGCACAGUUAAAUACAAAAGACAAUGAUGACACAAUAAGGAUCAGGUGUGACGACAGGGAGGAGCAGACAAAGGCGGGGCAGACACGUGACGAGAAACGUAAACAAACACACGUGUCCAGAGUCCGGGCAGAGUCCUUACAGUAUGACAGGAGUCUCUCCUCAGACCUUUUUUCCAGGAUAAAUCAGUUAUGGUGGUGAAGCGUUAGAACACGUCCCACAUUUCCAGCAUUUUGGGAGCUGAAUCAUUCAUAUUCAGAUGUAGAAGAUCCAUAACAAUAAAUGUGACUGAUCACAUCCUUUUAUCCUCUCAGCUACAACUUCACACUUUAACAUCUUUUACAAUCCAAAGUCAAAUCCUUCAGCAUCUACACACACCACAGAGAUAUCAUCACAUCAUCACACUGAUUACACAAAUACACAUCCAGAUACAGAUGUUUAUAGAUGUGUGAUACAGAUGUGUAUAGAUUAUUUUUACCUCUUUCAUUGUAUCUCAAAUGUGUUUCUCCACAGAUGAUUGGCUCACAGUUGUGAUCUUGAUUUUC
Long non-coding RNA from Tachysurus vachellii, 1128 nucleotides. RefSeq lists it as uncharacterized. The transcript is spliced from 4 exons. The record is from RefSeq and is a predicted model, not a curated record. Lineage: Eukaryota; Metazoa; Chordata; Actinopteri; Siluriformes; Bagridae.